CCUGCCCAGAAGUAGGGGAUAACACCUGGAAACAGAUGCUAAUACCGUAUAACAGAGAAAACCGCAUGGUUUUCUUUUAAAAGAUGGCUCUGCUAUCACUUCUGGAUGGACCCGCGGCGUAUUAGCUAGUUGGUGAGGUAAAGGCUCACCAAGGCAGUGAUACGUAGCCGACCUGAGAGGGUAAUCGGCCACAUUGGGACUGAGACACGGCCCAGACUCCUACGGGAGGCAGCAGUAGGGAAUCUUCCACAAUGGACGCAAGUCUGAUGGAGCAACGCCGCGUGAGUGAAGAAGGGUUUCGGCUCGUAAAGCUCUGUUGUUAAAGAAGAACGUGGGUAAGAGUAACUGUUUACCCAGUGACGGUAUUUAACCAGAAAGCCACGGCUAACUACGUGCCAGCAGCCGCGGUAAUACGUAGGUGGCAAGCGUUAUCCGGAUUUAUUGGGCGUAAAGCGAGCGCAGGCGGUCUUUUAAGUCUAAUGUGAAAGCCUUCGGCUCAACCGAAGAAGUGCAUUGGAAACUGGGAGACUUGAGUGCAGAAGAGGACAGUGGAACUCCAUGUGUAGCGGUGAAAUGCGUAGAUAUAUGGAAGAACACCAGUGGCGAAGGCGGCUGUCUGGUCUGCAACUGACGCUGAGGCUCGAAAGCAUGGGUAGCGAACAGGAUUAGAUACCCUGGUAGUCCAUGCCGUAAACGAUGAUUACUAAGUGUUGGAGGGUUUCCGCCCUUCAGUGCUGCAGCUAACGCAUUAAGUAAUCCGCCUGGGGAGUACGACCGCAAGGUUGAAACUCAAAAGAAUUGACGGGGGCCCGCACAAGCGGUGGAGCAUGUGGUUUAAUUCGAAGCUACGCGAAGAACCUUACCAGGUCUUGACAUCUUCUGACAGUCUAAGAGAUUAGAGGUUCCCUUCGGGGACAGAAUGACAGGUGGUGCAUGGUUGUCGUCAGCUCGUGUCGUGAGAUGUUGGGUUAAGUCCCGCAACGAGCGCAACCCUUAUUACUAGUUGCCAGCAUUAAGUUGGGCACUCUAGUGAGACUGCCGGUGACAAACCGGAGGAAGGUGGGGACGACGUCAAAUCAUCAUGCCCCUUAUGACCUGGGCUACACACGUGCUACAAUGGAUGGUACAACGAGUCGCGAGACCGCGAGGUUAAGCUAAUCUCUUAAAACCAUUCUCAGUUCGGACUGUAGGCUGCAACUCGCCUACACGAAGUCGGAAUCGCUAGUAAUCGCGGAUCAGCAUGCCGCGGUGAAUACGUUCCCGGGCCUUGUACACACCGCCCGUCACACCAUGAGAGUUUGUAACACCCAAAGCCGGU
This 1318-nucleotide ribosomal RNA is filed under the name Pediococcus pentosaceus. RNAcentral's name for it is "bacterial SSU rRNA". It matches the Rfam family "Bacterial small subunit ribosomal RNA", at positions 125 to 1431 of the family's 1533-position model. Lineage: Bacteria; Bacillati; Bacillota; Bacilli; Lactobacillales; Lactobacillaceae. The record is from RNAcentral.